AGAACCCGAUCCCAUCUCGAACUCGGCCGUUAAACGCACCAGCGCCUAUGGUACUGUGUCUCAAGACACGGGAGAGUCGGUCGCCGCCA
This 89-nucleotide ribosomal RNA is filed under the name Methylobacterium gnaphalii. Lineage: Bacteria; Pseudomonadati; Pseudomonadota; Alphaproteobacteria; Hyphomicrobiales; Methylobacteriaceae. The record is from RNAcentral.